Schistosoma rodhaini is the source of this 50-nucleotide non-coding RNA. Lineage: Eukaryota; Metazoa; Platyhelminthes; Trematoda; Strigeidida; Schistosomatidae. The record is from Rfam.
GCACUGAUGAGGAGUCCCACAAUAGGACGAAACGGCCGUCAACACAGUGC